Molecule: ribosomal RNA, 484 nt
Filed under: uncultured bacterium
Lineage: Bacteria
Description: partial 16S ribosomal RNA
Rfam family: Bacterial small subunit ribosomal RNA
Source: RNAcentral
AUUGAACGCUGGCGGCAGGCCUAACACAUGCAAGUCGAGCGGAUGAAGGGAGCUUGCUCCUGGAUUCAGCGGCGGACGGGUGAGUAAUGCCUAGGAAUCUGCCUGGUCGUGGGGGAUAACGUCCGGAAACGGGCGCUAAUACCGCAUACGUCCUGAGGGUGAAAGUGGGGGAUCUUCGGACCUCACGCUAUCAGAUGAGCCUAGGUCGGAUUAGCUAGUUGGUGGGGUAAAGGCCUACCAAGGCGACGAUCCGUAACUGGUCUGAGAGGAUGAUCAGUCACACUGGAACUGAGACACGGUCCAGACUCCUACGGGAGGCAGCAGUGGGGAAUAUUGGACAAUGGGCGAAAGCCUGAUCCAGCCAUGCCGCGUGUGUGAAGAAGGUCUUCGGAUUGUAAAGCACUUUAAGUUGGGAGGAAGGGCAGUAAGUUAAUACCUUGCUGUUUUGACGUUACCAACAGAAUAAGCACCGGCUAACUUCGUG